GGCUUUAUAGUGUAAAUAACAUUAAGGAUUGCAAAUCCUUAGAUGCGGUCAACAGUCGCUAAAGCUU
RNAcentral lists this transfer RNA (67 nucleotides) under Diadema setosum. RNAcentral describes it as "tRNA-Cys". It matches the Rfam family "tRNA". Rfam says of the family: Transfer RNA (tRNA) molecules are approximately 80 nucleotides in length. Their secondary structure includes four short double-helical elements and three loops (D, anti-codon, and T loops). The record is from RNAcentral. Lineage: Eukaryota; Metazoa; Echinodermata; Echinoidea; Diadematoida; Diadematidae.